AGAUCUAGCCUGGAAGAUCAAUUUAGUCCAGGUGAUUGAUUGCUAGAACUCCAUACAAGGUGGUAUACAUAUUUUCACUGUUCUAUUCUUCUGCAAUGGAGGUAUAAAGGUUUUGACAGGAACAGAAGUAAUUUUCUUCUCAGUGCCUCCUUUGGUGUUAUGAUCUGGAUUUGUGAUGAUUGUAGUGGUGAUAACAGUUUUAGUUAUUGCUCAGCAGUGCUUAUUCAGAAUCAAGGGUAUUUCAUCUUCUCAAACUGACCUGCAAGUGAGGAGAACAACUGUGUGGAGCUGCCUACUGAGUAUAAGCCACAACAAGAGGAAAAAUAUAUUCCCAGAGUGCUUACAAAGCUGCAGCAGAGGGAAAUGGCUUGAAAUUUAAUGUCUGGGUCUGGUUCUCUAGGGAAGUCAUGCUGCAGCUUCCCUUUGGUAUGAUGAGGUUACAGAGGUAGUAUCUGCACCUGGCAUUCAUUCAGAUCAAGAAAAAUGUAUGAACAUAUGGUCUUAACACUGUGGAUUGAAAAAGCAGCUCUGUGUAGGUAUGCACCUGGGGUCUAUAAAAUGCUUGCUAGUUGAGAUAAUUACAGUAAAGUUUAUCAUUAAAAGAACCUGAUUUAGUUUGCAACCUUAAAAUCAGUUAUUUCUGUGUGGUAGUUCUAUGGACAUGAGUGCUUCUAUUUUUCACAUUGUCGUCUUGAACACAUGAAAGUCCUUUAGGAUGCAGUUUAAAGGACACAAACAACAGCAACAACAAAAAAAAAAACUAAGAACAAAAUGAAUUAGGAUACUAUAUGGACGUUGUUGAUGCUUUUGUCUAGAUAAGAAUGUUCUUUAUAAGAGAUUGUUAAUGUCAUGUCAGUUGAAGAUUCCUGACUUGGUUUGAAUUUCUGAAUGAAGGCCUGAAUGAACUGUUUUUGACAGAAGCGAAGACUUCCAAGGAUUUUCAUCCUCUUUGGGCUUUCCUUGGAGAGUGUAGACUUAAA
Meleagris gallopavo (turkey) is the source of this 980-nucleotide non-coding RNA. The record is from RefSeq and is a predicted model, not a curated record. NCBI's taxonomy places the organism in Eukaryota, Metazoa, Chordata, Aves, Galliformes, Phasianidae.